AGUCUCGAGGUGUUAGUACACACUGAAUUGCAAAUUCGGAGAAGCAGAUUCCAACUCUGCCGAGACUU
Molecule: transfer RNA, 68 nt
Filed under: Nyctimene cephalotes
Lineage: Eukaryota; Metazoa; Chordata; Mammalia; Chiroptera; Pteropodidae
Description: tRNA-Cys
Rfam family: tRNA
About the family: Transfer RNA (tRNA) molecules are approximately 80 nucleotides in length. Their secondary structure includes four short double-helical elements and three loops (D, anti-codon, and T loops). Further hydrogen bonds mediate the characteristic L-shaped molecular structure. tRNAs have two regions of fundamental functional importance: the anti-codon, which is responsible for specific mRNA codon recognition, and the 3' end, to which the tRNAs corresponding amino acid is attached (by aminoacyl-tRNA synthetases). tRNAs cope with the degeneracy of the genetic code in two manners: having more than one tRNA (with a specific anti-codon) for a particular amino acid; and 'wobble' base-pairing, i.e. permitting non-standard base-pairing at the 3rd anti-codon position.
Source: RNAcentral